Molecule: ribosomal RNA, 644 nt
Filed under: uncultured organism
Description: bacterial SSU rRNA
Rfam family: Bacterial small subunit ribosomal RNA
Source: RNAcentral
UUAAGCAUGCAAGUCGCACGGUAUUAUUUGGUGCUUGCACCGAUAAGAGAGUGGCGAACGGGUGAGUAACACGUAAGUGAUCUGCCUUUUAGUUGGGGAUAGCCCAUGGAAACAUGGGGUAAUACCGAAUACGUCUGGAAACAGGGAAAGACCCGUAUGGGUCGCUAAAAGAUGAGCUUGCGGUCCAUUAGCUAGUUGGUAGGGUAAAGGCCUACCAAGGCGACGAUGGAUAGCCGGCCUGAGAGGGUGACCGGCCACACUGGGACUGAGACACGGCCCAGACUCCUACGGGAGGCAGCAGCUAAGAAUCUUCCGCAAUGGGCGCAAGCCUGACGGAGCGACGCCGCGUGGAUGAAGAAGGCCGUGAGGUUGUAAAAUCCUUUGGUUAGAGAAGAAUAAAGUUGCAAGGAAAUGUGCAACAGAUGACAUUACCUAACGAAUAAGCCCCGGCCAAUUACGUGCCAGCAGCCGCGGUAACACGUAAGGGGCAAGCGUUGUUCGGAAUCAUUGGGCGUAAAGGGCGCGCAGGCGGCGUAUUAAGCCUGGUGUGAAAGACCGCAGCUUAACUGCGGGGACGCGCAGGGAACUGGUAUGCUUGAGUUCAAGAGGGGGAGUUGGAAUUCCUGGUGUCGGGUGAAAUCUGU